RNAcentral lists this ribosomal RNA (301 nucleotides) under uncultured bacterium. RNAcentral describes it as "partial 16S ribosomal RNA". It matches the Rfam family "Bacterial small subunit ribosomal RNA", at positions 509 to 807 of the family's 1533-position model. The record is from RNAcentral.
CAGUAGCCACGGGAAUACGUAGGUGGCAAGUGUUGUCCGGAAUUAUUGGGCGUAUAGGGCUCGCAGGCGGUUUCUUAAGUCUGAUGUGAAAGCCCCCGGCUCAACCGGGGAGGGUCAUUGGAAACUGGGAAACUUGAGUGCAGAAGAGGAGAGUGGAAUUCCACGUGUAGCGGUGAAAUGCGUAGAGAUGUGGAGGAACACCAGUGGCGAAGGCGACCCUCUGGUCUGUAACUGUCGCUGAGGAGCGAAAGCGUGGGGAGCGAACAGGAUUAGAUACCCCAGUAGUCCCUGUCUCUUAUAC